This 253-nucleotide ribosomal RNA is filed under the name uncultured bacterium. RNAcentral describes it as "partial 16S ribosomal RNA". It matches the Rfam family "Bacterial small subunit ribosomal RNA", at positions 524 to 776 of the family's 1533-position model. The record is from RNAcentral.
UACGUAGGGUGCAAGCGUUGUCCGGAAUUAUUGGGCGUAAAGAGCUCGUAGGCGGUUUGUCGCGUCUGCUGUGAAAACUCAGGGCUUAACCCUGAGCUUGCAGUGGGUACGGGCAGACUAGAGUGCGGUAGGGGAGACUGGAAUUCCUGGUGUAGCGGUGAAAUGCGCAGAUAUCAGGAGGAACACCGGUGGCGAAGGCGGGUCUCUGGGCAGAUACCGACGCUGAGGCACGAAAGCUAGGGGAGCAAACAGG